This 353-nucleotide ribosomal RNA is filed under the name uncultured bacterium. RNAcentral describes it as "bacterial SSU rRNA". It matches the Rfam family "Bacterial small subunit ribosomal RNA", at positions 28 to 381 of the family's 1533-position model. The record is from RNAcentral.
GACGAACGCUGGCGGCGUGCCUAACACAUGCAAGUCAACUUGACUGAAGGAGCAAUCUGACAGUAGAGUGGCGCAAGGGUGCGUAACGCGUAAGUAACUUGCCCCAAGGUAAGGAAUAACGUCGAGAAAUCGGCGCUAAUACCUCAUAAUGCAGCGGAUCCGCAUGGAUAUGUUGUUAAAGGUUUACCGCCUUGGGAUAGGCUUGCGUCUGAUUAGCUAGUUGGUGUGGUAACGGCACACCAAGGCUACGAUCAGUAACUGGUCUGAGAGGAUGAUCAGUCACACUGGAACUGAGACACGGUCCAGACUCCUACGGGAGGCAGCAGUGAGGAAUAUUGGGCAAUGCUCGAAAG